CCACAACCCAUUCUUUACCAUUUUAGCUCAACAAUUUUCCUACAUCUCUUGAUAACACAUGCAUGCAAAAUAAACAACUCCUAUACCCAAAAAUUAUCUUACCAAUUAUCCAUUCCUAGUUAAAUUUCGAAAUUGAGGUUUAGGGUGUAGAAUUUUACCUUUAGGAUGGAAGACCUAAUGUGCUUUCCUUGAUAAUCUUCCAAGAUUCGAGCAAGAAUUGAAGAACAAAUUGUUGAAGAACUCUCUCUCACUUUAGGGCAUUCUCUAACCCUCAAAAUAUCAGGUUUUUGCUCAAAAGAUGGCACAUAUAGUCUAUUUAGCGAAGUAGGGUCGGGUUAUAAAAAUUCAAAAAAUGAAGCUCCGGAACAGGAUCUGCGGUCGCAUAUGCGACCGCAUAAUUGCUCUCCGGAACUGGGCAAAACUGACCCAGUCUGCGGUCAUUAUGUGGCCCGCAGACCUGUUCUGCGGUCGCAUAAUGCAUCGCAGAACUGGUUUGCAAUCGCAUAAUGCACCACAAAUCUGCUCUCCAAACUUGCCUAAGUUGCUUCACUCUGCGGCCAUUAUGUGGUCCGUAGAGUGAUUAUGCGACCGCUUAGUGGGCUGCAGAGAUGUAUUUUUCUGCCCAAAAUUUUCCUUUAAGCCUACUUCGGCACCACGAAACCUUAAAUUCCUUUACAAAUUUUACGGGGCCUUACAUAAACCAAAUUUAAGGCAAGUGUUAUAAGUGUUUGAUUUAUAAAUACAGGGGCUGUGUCCGAAACUGAGUGAUAUUAUAGGGGCGUUCAGUGUAUAACUUAUCCAAUUAUUUAAUUGGGUUGGAUACAGAGAGUGAUAUGUGAAGUAUAACUUUCAAGGAAAGAGCUCUUUUAUUGUAAUACCAUCACUCCGUCAGUGAGAAGACAAUGCUAGAGGUUCUCUCUUUUUACUUGCCUUAUGAAAAAUGCUAGAGGUUCUCUCUUUCUGAAUAUAAGGCCUUGAAGAUUGAAUUGCUUCAACUUGCUCUGGAAAACCAUUCAUGAUCUCUUUCAUGGUUUUAAGAAAUGUAUUAGUUAACCAGUUCUUUUGCACGUGCUUCAUUAAAAGUAAUUGUUUCUGAGGCGUAGUUGUUGUUGUUGACAAUACAGGUUCCUUGUAUUUUGGGCGUUAAUCUAACUGAUGUGGAUCUGUUAGAAUUUCUUCAACAGCUUGCUGAUACAGAUGGAUCAUCUAUAAUACCCCCAUCAGUGAAUCGGGUCCUGAACAGCAAGGCUUGCAGGAGUGCAAUUAUGUUUGGAGAUGCAUUGUUACCUUCAGAAUGUUCUCUCAUUGUUGAGGAGUUGAAGCAGACUUCGUUGUGUUUUCAAUGUGCUCAUGGGCGACCAACAACCGUCCCUCUUGUCAACUUGGAUGCUCUGCAUGAGCAGAUUGCCAAGUUAGGUUCGUGUGGUAGGGGUUCAUCUGAGGCAUGGCAUGAGUUACAUCGGCAUGAAAUCAGCUUAGAGCGUGCAGCGAAGCGACUAAGAACAGCCGUAUCCUAGUGUCAAAAGGCUCUCGUGAAAAUACCUAAUUUGGUUCUGGAUACCUAUCAAGCAAUAAUUUUGCGUUGAAGAUAUCCAGUCUGCACCCAUCACAAUGGAGGAUGAUCCGGAUCUGGAGGGCGGUGUAUUAAUACUGAUCGAUAUAUGAAGGUAUCUAAUGAUAACUCUAUGAAUGUACAUACUAAAUUUGUAACACUGGUCCCAUUGGCAGCUCUCUCUAUCUCACACACACACACAUACACACACUGGAACAAAACUAGGAAAAGGAAUGGAUUGUACAGUUUCCAUGUAAAACCAGAGUAACCCCAUUUGUCAUGUGUACAGAACGUGAAGAAAUGAUAUCCCAUUGCUCGCAUGGUUAAGUUUGUAUGUUCCAUUUCCAUCCCAACCCUCCCCUAUUAACCGGUAUUACAAAUCUCCUGAACAUAUAAAACUUCCAUUCACAUCUGUUUUACUGCUCCUCACCCUAGUUACACUGGAGCCAGCCAGCUACGCUCCUACAACUCGAGCUGCUAAAUAGUUGCAUGAAUCAGAUGUUUUUAGUCUGUUGAGUAAUUCUUAUGAUUUAUGUCAUCAAAGGCUGAAACUCAUCCUGAGUGAAUUCUUUUUUGCUUUUAGUAAAUUAAGAUAGUGCCCGGCGUGUAUUUCGACUAAAA
Molecule: non-coding RNA, 2173 nt
Organism: Nicotiana tabacum (common tobacco)
Lineage: Eukaryota; Viridiplantae; Streptophyta; Magnoliopsida; Solanales; Solanaceae
Source: RefSeq, a predicted model, not a curated record